GGAGAUUUUGUUUGGUCGUUUAACCAGUGUGACAUAGAUAGUACGACUUCACAUGAUAUACCUGUGCGUUUCAAGGCACAAAUUGUCGAUAAGUACAUGUUAGUUAAAAGAUUGGAAGAGGAAAAAGCACUUCUGAACAUGGAGAUGAAAAAUUAUAUGAUUUAUUAUUUGGAAAACGUUUUGCCUCUCCUUUGUGAAA
Molecule: long non-coding RNA, 199 nt
Organism: Xenia sp. Carnegie-2017
Lineage: Eukaryota; Metazoa; Cnidaria; Anthozoa; Malacalcyonacea; Xeniidae
Exons: 2
Source: RefSeq, a predicted model, not a curated record